Lagopus muta (rock ptarmigan) is the source of this 21989-nucleotide long non-coding RNA. RefSeq lists it as uncharacterized. NCBI's taxonomy places the organism in Eukaryota, Metazoa, Chordata, Aves, Galliformes, Phasianidae. The transcript is spliced from 5 exons. The record is from RefSeq and is a predicted model, not a curated record.
GUACAACUUUGCAUUGCAAUUGGAGUGUUGCAGACGGAAAACAGAUGGCAGAGCAGUAGCAACCAGACCGGUGCACAGUCCCAGGAAUGAGGAUGGGUGGGGGAAAAUGAAGAAACUGCAAAGGCAACAUUAUACACAGUGCAGCCCCGAGCUUGCUGCAGUGCCUGCCUGUGCGGAAGCAGCCACUCAAGCACACUGGAGCAGCUGGGGCAUGUGGCAGCAUUCCUUCCUACUGCGUGUCCUGUGGGUGCACAUUGGUUUGUGUCAGAAAAGGAGCAGAGGAGGUGGUACACUGGCUUGCCCAUUUCAUAUCUUAAUCAGCAGGUAUUUUUCCUUUGCUUUUUCCUGGGCUAAGGCAUGCUGUUAGUGACAAGAGUGAAUGCUGGGAGGGGUGAGACUUUUAGACCUUCAGACUUGUCAGCACUGAUCUUAAUAUACAAAAGGUGAAAAUGUUGUUGGGGGGGUGGUUUAAUAAAAACAGGCAAAAAACUCGAGAGGUAUUUUAAUUGUAAGCCCUCUCUUGGUUUUGUUUUGAUUGUUUUGAUUUCAUUGGUUUUCUUGUUUGUUUUGAAUUUAGGAGGGGGGUUAAUUUGCUUCCAGAUCUCAUACAGCGCCUUUUGAAAUUGCUUCCCUUUGUUCUCUCCACUUUUCUUCCUCCAGUAGUCACACUGUUGUAAAAGAUUUUGAUCAGAAAAUAUACCAGCAGGGAUUGGAACCACAUUGUUCUGUUGCUUUGGAAACAACUAAGAAGAGAAGUUUUCAUGAAAAUCCUGCAGACAAAGGUUCUCAGCCCAUACACUGAGCUUAAUUUCAGGGAGUUGUACAUUCUUGGGCAAGCUUAUUGCUUUUCCUCUUAGCCUGAGGGGAGACGGCCAUUGGGUGCUGAAAUUCAGUGCAGUUUGAUAGGGCUGUGUUGGCAGGGGUUGCAUCUGCAGCAGUCUGCUGUAACAGAGGAGGGCUUAUUGUGUGUAGCUGGAGCAGGCAGAGUUUGUGUAGCAACGGCUCUCCAGCCAAUCGUCGGAGGUGUUAGAUAAAGUGGAAGCGUUUGUAGCACUUCCUCUGCUUUUCUUUUUAAUUAGGCCAUAUUCUUUCCUGAACCCCCUCCUCCACUGCAAGCAUCAGACAGCAUCCUGAAGCUUUCACUCUGUUCUGCGCAAUAGAAUUUGGAUAUUGGAAAGAUCUGCAAUUUGAACCUAGCUGGUUUUGUCUAAUCUUUUUGUUUUGAGCCAUGUUUGCCAGGAGAAGGUUCUGUAUUUUGUUUUCCUCUGCCUUUCUUGGAGAGUACCUCGCAGUGCUGGCUGUGCUGUUCAUCUAAGUAAGAUGUCUGAAUUUGUGUGUAGGCAUUUUUGUAAGAGGACUUAGUAGGAAAAAAAAAAUAUCUCAUUGGCCUUUAGUUCAGUUUCUCAAUGUGUGUUUUGAUUAACUAGACUACAGCAGAGGGAGUUCUGGAAGCUGCUGCAUCCAGCAUUACGUGGCUCACCAUAUCACAGAGGGCUGACUCAUAAACGGUUCGCUCUGCUAUUAGCGAGUUUCCUUUAAUGAGGCGGAGGGGGUUGGAUAGUGCAUGCAGAUGAUGCUGGCAAGUAGCCUUGUGCUGGGAGGAGAUGGGAGAGGUUAAGAAUUAAUGCAUGUCAGAAAAGCUAGUACUGAGGAACUGAACUCUGUUCCCACCUUACAGCUAUUUGAGACAGCUGGAUGCCUUGGAUAAUAGGAAUACAGAAGAAAAUGAUCCCUGAAGCGCCUCAGUCCAUUGCUGUGUCUUUUACUUAAAUAAGCUGAGUUUUCCUCUUCUGAGGAACAUCUCCAGCCCAAUAUCAGGGCUGUUUGGUGAAGCUGUAUCAUGUUGGUGGUGAGCAGUGUCCUUGCUUUGGUUCAAAAAAAUAAAAAGAAAAGGUCCAACCUGAAGUAACAGCAGCUGAGUUUCAGGGAAGAUACACAUUGCAUCUCCUGUUGUUACACACAGAGGCCUUGUGUUCUGCAGAAUAACAUGUCCUGCUGUUUUUGACAAGUUCUUGAAUUCGGUUUUAUGGUCUUUCAUAUCCUGCAGCCCUGUUAGCAUUUCUUUUUAGAAUUCUGCAUGACCCAAAGCCAAAGGAAUGACAGCCUGUUGCUCAGCUGGCAGACGUGGCCGAGGGCACUGAUCACACAACAAAGUCUGUAACAUUUUGGAAACAAGCAGUCCUCUUUUAAAAGACCAGUUUUAGUGAAAGUGUUUCCAGUGCUUAUCAGGAAAAAGAUAGGAUGUUUAUUUUCUGGUAAAAAAAAAGUUGUGCAAACACUGAACUCCAUAUAUACCAAACCUUAAAAUAUCAUUUUCAUUGGUAGAAUACUUGUGCAUUUUCACCCAAACAUCCAUGCAGGUUGUUUGUGGAAGGCUGCAGUUUUAUUGGUGUUGCACUUCUCCUACAAACAAGUUGGAAGUAGGCUACAAGCUGAGUGUUUAUUGAAUGACACUUGUAGAGAGUGCUCUGUGUUCUCCUCCUGUGGAAAUAAACAUCAGGGUCUGUUUUAAGAGGCCAUUAAUUGGGGAAAUGAAACCGUAUGUGACACAAAUGCUACAUGUGUACAAGGCCACAGAACAGAGCUAAACAGAGAGCUGAUCCGUGUGUGGGUGCUGUGAACCAGUCACCAUUCUAUUAAUUAGAAGCGACAUUGUUACGAAAUAGUCGUUACUUUGGAUGCCAAGGCAUGACCCCUGUACACAGUGAAAUUAGCUAAAUUUGCUAUGGUGUGUUUUGAAUAAAGCACUGUGAAACUGGCCUCUAAAAAUAGCUUUUAUCCUGGCAUCAAGAAAGCAAGCUAUAGUACUGCAGCACUCUUUAAGUGUCGCGUUUUCCUUUUUGGUCGACGUGAUAGAUGUGUUUCAGUGACUUCUGUACGUAUUGCUAAGAUAUGUGCAUGACUGCAAGGGAGACAUCUUGUUUUAGGAAGUUCAGUAGACAGCUGGAUGUUCAGGAAAUAUCACUGACCAGUAAGGCACUGCUACCUGUGUUCUUGGUAAGAGAAAGAGUUGUGUUCAAGAAACUCGAAACUGAUGUAUUUGGGAAGGUAGGAGUGGGAGAGAAAAAGGAGACUGACUAUUGCUUUCAUUACUGAAAACAAGUAACUAUUUUGCAGACAGCCUUAGUCCAUGAGCUGCAUGGAAUUGGGAUGCUCUCACUGUCGAGUUUCAACUUGCAGAUGUUCUGAGGAGAUGCUAGACAGCCCUGUUUUACUCUACAGAAAACUUUUGUUGAGUUUAGGUGCGUUUGCUGUUUUGACUGCAUUUGUUCAUGAUUGAGAGGUCACUGUCUGAAUAGAAGAGGAGGAGAAUGGAGUGAGAAGCCUCUUUUCCUGGUAUCUUAUUCCUUAUGCUACUCCUCUCAAUGCAGAAAGAAGUCUCUGUCUCUGCUGUUUUUCCAGUUGCCUUUUAUCUGACUAGAAAACAACACUGAGUUUGGUUCCUAUAUUUCACUGACUUUUCCACGCAUAUAACUUAAAAAAGAAUGGAUCUGUCUAUCAAGUUUUGCAGGUUGGUGGAGUAAGUUGUUUGAUGCCUAGGCAGGAGUUACAGAUGAAAGAAGCACAGGAACCCAUGAUGAUUCUUUCCACCAUCAGAAGACCAGGAAGGUCAGGAUAUAUUCCUCAUAUCCUCUGGACUGCCAGCAUGAAAUAAUUCUAGCCUGUAAACAGCAACAUCUCAGAUGUGUUGGUGAAAUGGCAUUGGCUGAAGUAGUCUUACUGGCAUCAUAAGAAUACAAACCACUAUUCUCAUAGUGGUACAGAAUAAUAGCACAGAAAGAGUGGAAGCUGGUAAGUCAAACCAGUGCACAGUAAGUUUCAUGUGAACUUUGGUAGCUCAAGAUUUCAAUGUGUUUAUUUCUGUUAACUUCUCUUUCUCUUCCAUGCUUUACAGUUCAGCAAGUGCUAUACUAUUUUGAAUUAUUUCAUUCCUGCCUCUAAUCUGUAUUUGAAUCACUGUCAUGAAUUUUCACUGCUCAGUUUUUACCUCAAUUGAAGGAUGUGAAUUCUACCAACCACAGAGCCAAGGUGAGUUCCAAUAAGAGGAAGUUUGCUAGUUGUUAAAAGGUGUCUGUGUUUCAGUGUCAGACUUAGAACUGGUGCACAUUGUUGCAGCAUACCAUUUUUUUUUGUCAAACAAAAAUAAUGAGGUGAUUACAGUCCAGACUGUUUUGCAUCAUGGUCUUGUGUCUUCUUAUAGUUCCAUAAUUGUAUAUUAUAGCAGGUUCAUUAAAACACAUCAUAGUUAUUCUCAUUAAAAGUUAUUUUGCCUUCUAUGAAGACAACGUAUUUCUCCUCACUACUGGCAACCUGAAGUAGUAGGAAGGCACUAGUCAGACCUCAGUGCAGUGGGCUUGCAGACCUUCACAGCUCAAAGAUCUCACUUUGAGGUUUUGCUGUGGGUUGUUGGGUUUUUUUUUGUUGGUUUUUGUUUGUUUGUUUGUUUUCUGAAGCUGAAAGAUAGAAAGUGUUGCUUCUCUGAUUUGAGGUGAAAAUUAAAUCCCACUGAAGUCAUGAUUUCAACACCUGGGCCUUUAGAGAGACUACUGCAUCUUGAGUGGGCAAUAAAACUUUCAUUAUUCCAAAUAUUUUUUUUGCUAUUGCUGUAAACAGCAAUAAGACAAUUAGUAUGUUUGGUGAAGUGCUUGCCACUAGACUUUGCCUAUAGAUCUUAAAUCUAUAAAUCUAAAAAUCCUAUUUUUUCUUUGAGUUCUGAGCGUAUAUUGACAAUAUUUACUCUCUUCAAACUGCCGAGCACUUGGUUCUUCAUCAAACCAAACCACUGUUAAUGGGUAGUCUGGCCUCUGGUUAAGAAAAGAAAUAAAAUAUUGCUUAAGAUAGUCUUUUUUUUAUUAUGCAAGCCCUUUACAUAUGCUUAAAUUUGUGGUUUCUGAUUUCAUGGAGGUGUUUAGCAGUUAGGCAAACAUAGAAUGUCACUGUGUUUGGCUUUUUCCUGGCAGCACAGCUGAGACAGCUGCAGAGAGACAAAUUCAGAGUCAGAUUCUGUUCACCAUUUAUUCCCUUCAUGCUCACAAGCACUGGCUUCACAGACCAUGUCAAAAUGCAGCUAGGGGAGUGCUGAGCAAUCAGUACCUAGAGGGAGCUCAAGUUUUGGCUUAGAACAACCUUUUUUAUUCCUUUUUUUUUUUCUUUACCAUUCCAGAAAUGCAGACAAGACAAAUGGCUGUACAGCUUUAGGUGUUGUCUUACUGCUCAAACAUUUUAUCUGAGAAAUGAAGUUACCUUGUUCAGGUAUCCAUGUGUCUGGAGCCAGGUGACCUCUGCCCAUGUGUUUGUCACAUAUAAGAUCUUCUGUCUUUACGUGGGGUUCUCUUCAUAUGUUUACUUGUGUGGGCUGUUCCCUUGUUCAGCUGAGCACAUAUUGCAGUUCCUGAAAACCUAAUACAAGUUUAUACAGUCUUCUUCCUACAGGAUUCUCCCUUUGGAGGAGCCACUGGUGAUGCAGUACCUGCUUUGCAUCAGCACAUCUCAAAUAUGAUUGCCCAUACCAGACAUCCAUUAUGUGAUGGUUCUUGGUAGGAAAAACCUGUUUAAUGCAAUGGCCUUGUUCAUCUUUGACAAAAGAUAGUCUUGAUACUUCGAAGAUGGUGGUGAGUAUUGAAGAGCUGAACUGUUGGGUUACUCAUCGUGUGGGUACCUGUUGAACAAGUCAAGAUGUUUAAAAAUAAGUAAAUAAAACAAUUUAAGAAGUAGGCAAGGCUUACUAGUUUCUGCAGGCCCCCCAAAAAUCAAGCCCAUGUCUGCUUGUAUGCCCUUAUUUGUUGAGCUCUGGGGAUUAAAGCACUAUAAAAAAUUUCUUUGGAACUGGAGUAGUGCAUUAAAAUUAAAGGUAAGAGCUUUUAUACUGCAGAAGAUACAAUAAAACAGUAUCUAGAGCUCCUAAAUUAACCAGAACUGUGACUAAACAGCAACAAAAAUACCUUACAAAUACGAUCAUUUCCAGUCUCCCAGAUCUCAGUCUGGAAAGGCUGCAAUGUGCAACCUGCUAUGCAGCAGCAGUGGCUUGGUUGGUGGUGCUUAAUUCCAGUCCCAUGUAGCAAUAUUGGGACUGAUUUCUGAAGACUUGUUGUGUGAUGGGCUGCUUCAAAGAUCCGUUUCAUGUUCUUGUUUUAAUAGAUAAUUAGUUGAAACUGUAACUUUUUUAAAGGAGUCUGUUUCAGUAUGUGCUUCCUGAAAUGGAGAUCAUCAGAUUUGUUCCUGUCCUGCUAAACUUUGCAACUGUGCCAAAUCUACUAAAGGGCAAAUUUUCUUGUUUGUAAACCUUUUCCACUUGAGAGAACAACUAAAUGGACUCUGUAGUGAAAACAGAUUUGCAAAGCAAGAUUUUCACCUUUGCUCUUUGGAGGGAAGUACAAUAAAAAUAGCAGAGAAAGUAGAAAAGUUUUUUUUUUUCUAUUCUAAGAGUUUGAUUCCCUCUGCCCCAAGUUCUUGCUCUUCAUAAAUAACUUUCCAACAUGCAGUUAACUUUAUUCAUACUUACAGUUCUUACCAUCUUUCAGAAGCUCUCUGUACCAUCAGGCACGAGCCUGGGAUUCUUCUGUUUUGAGCUAAGAUGAAAGUCUUACUGCCUGACAGUGGAAAUAAACAAAUUGUUAAGGGGCUGAUUUUAGGUUUCAUAGCUGCACCAGGCACUGCUUUCUGCUCCUGAUUUCUUUAAUAGUUUUGCUUAAUAACAUUUUUCAAGAGAAGAACUGACAAAUGUGUUUGUUGGGCUCAGAAGUCUUUCAGGUACAUACUGAGUGUAACACUGGGUAAGAGCUGUCUGCUGUGGGACUUUGGGUGGCCGUGUUAUUAUGCUUUGUGUUUAUUCAGAGUUAGUUGCUAAUAGUGACUUGCUUUUUCUUUUUUUGGCAAUAGUAAAGCAGUGCCUUUCCCCGUUGUGUGCUGGAUCUUGCAGCAAUGUUUGUAGUGGUUUGUAGUGUCUGAAAACAACAUUACAGCUUUGGCAGUAGGAGUCAUUUGUAAGGAUACAAGUGGAAAUGAUAUGUCUAAUGCCUGCAGGUUAUCAGUGGACUUUGCAGUUAUCUGCCUGUCUUGAUUGCUUUUUAUUCUUUUUCUUUUUCCUUUCUUGCUUCUGAUCUUUACUAUUAGCCAAAAUAAAUAAUUUUUAAAAGUCAUAAUAGCAUUUCAUAUUGUUGUAGAAAAUAACACGUGGGUUAUUGCAUCCCAUCCUCUGCAGCUGUAGGCCCAUGACUUCUGUCUUGUGCAGCUUUUCUUUUAAUGUCAGAUCAGAAAGUGAAAAUUUCUUGUACGAGCAGAGAAGUCCCCAGCCUUGACCUGAAAGGCAGCGUGAGGUUCACUGCUUCAUUCAGUUAUCAUGGGUACAAGGAAACUAUUUCAUACCAGACCUCUCUCCAUUUAAGUUUGGCUUGGUUUGAGUUGCUAAUAGAAAUAGGACUCAAAGGCAAUUUACUGAUUGCAUCCUGAUUUAGGAUAGGAUGGCAAGCCACUGCUAUUAGCCCUGGUGACUGACAGCAAGUAGCUGAAAAUUAUUAAUGCUUUUUGUAUGAGAAAUCUCUUCUGUCAGCCCUUCUACUGAAGCAGCAAUCUGAAACAAGAAAGGUUAUUCUGUUAUUUCACAAAUGAAUUGAACUAAUUUCUGAUCAGAUGAACCUGAUCAGAAUUAAAGUGGCAUGUAAGAUGCAGUGACAUUUAGAACUCAUCAAAAAUAUUUACAGAGGGUAAUCUUUCCUGCACAGAUAUAUACAGAUACUCUGAUAGCACCAUACAGAGCCCAAGUUCUCUUCUGCAGUACAUGAAAGCUUUAAAACCUGCAGCUGAAAUGGUCAUUAGGGACUUAUUCCAGAUGCUUUUAAGGAUUGUUUGGAAUACCAAUUGUUCUGUCUGGCUCUCUGAACAAAACAAACAGCUGUUGUUCUCUUGAAAUUUUGUCUGAAGCCAUAUUUCAGACAGUAAAAUACAGGAUUUAUUGAAAUGCUGACUUUAUUUUUUUGCUGCUCAUAAAAGAUAUGACAUGAAAAUUAAAUAUAUGACAGAUGCUAGAGAUGUCUCAUCCCUGCUGAAUUGGGUUACUAUGUAAAUCCUCAGUCAUAUCCUCCUCUGCACUACAUCUUCUUACUUUUUCUCUUUGGUUGCAUAUAAAAGGCAGAAAUGAACUGAGCUGAGGACUUGCUGUUGACAGAAGGAGUGUGUGCUCCUUUUGUGCCUGGCAUUCAUCUGACCACAUGAUCAGCAAGCCGGUCCUAAUCUCCUAAUCCUGCAGCAGAAGUGCUUUCAGUUAAUUUUGUUUCUGUUACAGUUGAUUUGGGUCAUGGUGUAGUCGGGUCCCAGAGCCAUCUUGAGAUGCAGGAGGAGCACAUGGCUGUGACAGUGGGGAUUAGGGCAGAAGUGGGAAAGGAGAGAAAUUAAAAACACUCUUUUGUGGCUUUUAACGUGUAACCCAUAGCUUCCAGGUACCUACCUGUGGGUUGGUGUUGUGUUUUUUUUGGCUGUUUUUUGUGGUAUAUUACUCCAUGUAUGCUGCACAAGUAGAAAGGCUGUGCAGAACUGAGUGCUGUUCUGGCAUCUUGCCUGCUUCCUGUCCGCGUGCCCCCGCUGCAGUAUGUGAGUAGAUUUGCUUUGUGAUUGUCCAUGGAGGGUACUAAAAUGCCACUUCUACUCGCUUAGAGACAAUUUCUUGCACAGAAGGGGAGGAGAUGCACGGUGUUAUCACUAAGAACUGGGGGAUCCAUCUUCAAAGAGGGCUUCUUACUACACUGAUUGCGUUUUCCAUGGAUGUAAUGUUCCAUGGAUUUUCAAUUCACUCUGUCACACCACCUUUGUGAUAUAUCUUCUGUUUUUCUUUCAAAUUGUUAGAAAUCUACAUUUAAUAAUUUGUAUUAAGAAGUUUACAGCUAAGAAACCACUGCAUUAAGCAUUCCAAGGCACAUUAGUGUGUUAAUUUUGGUUCCCUUUCUUCAUCUAAUUGUCCUUUUAUGAGGACAAUAAUACAGAUUAUUUUGCUCUCAUAAUUUGUCUUUCUGUGACUGUAUAUUUUGGUAAUACUUGGGUUGCCAGUAAUUCUGUGACAUGACAGUGUUUAAAUCUAUGUAUAAAAUACUUAUCUGUGUUGAUUUCUGAAAUGUGUUGUAAUAGCUUGUUGUUUUACAUAGAAUGGCUCGGGUUGGAAGAGGCUCUAAGGAUCAUCGAUUUCCAACCCUUCUGUCACAGGCAGGACCACCAACCUCCAGGUCUGGUACUAGAGCAGGUUGCCUGGGGCUCCAUCCAAUCUGCUUUUGAACACCUCCAGGGAUGGAGCAUCCAUAGCCUCUCUGAGCAGAGAAAAUGCAUUUAGUUGUCAAAUAGAGAAAUUAGAAGCUGGAGGAUUAUUUUCUUUAGAUGGAGAAAAUGGCAAGAAACCAAAUGCAGGCACACUACAAACAGAAUUCAGGAAUGAUGUCGGUGUGCAGAGUCAGUGUUCCUUACUUGGAAGAGAGUUUGUGUAACUAGAAAUUGAUGGAAGUGCUGUGUUUUGGAAGUUUUACCCCUGAUGUCAGUACAUGUUCUUAGCAGAGAUUGUAUUCUGAUUCAUGGUUUGCCGUGACCAGGUGUGACUGCAAUGCUGAAAUUCCAGAUUGUGGAGGGACAUGGGCAGUCCCUGUGCUGUGUGACACAGCCCAUCGCGAUGGGCCUCGUGGCCUCUGUGUGUCUGCACUGUGUGGAUUCCAAGGCAGCAGCCCUCCCCAGAGCAAGGAGGCCUGAGCAGCACAGCAUGGGCAGCCAAGGUGGAUUUUGAGGAGUCAGGUCACUUCUAGCUUGCAAAAUGCAUUGGUUUCUCUGAGGCAGUUCACUGGUACUUUCUCAUUAUUGCUGUAGGUUAAAGAAUGCACUCUUCGUUGUGUGGAGAUGCUUGAACAGAUCAAGUCAAAUUUGUCUUUGUUUCCUAUCACAGGGACAAGUAAAUAUUUACAAAAUAAUGCACAAAAAUUACUGCAUUUUAAUCUACUCUAGUUAAUUUAUGGCCUGUCAGAAUAUUUUUAAACCAGGCUGAUGAAUAGGCUUAAAUUGACAUUUUAUGCUUUUUUCAUAAAAUGAAGCUUGAACUGAGUGUCUGAGUGACGGUGGUGCUACUCAAAUGAAACGUUCAUUAGAUCCAUGCAGCUGUCAUGAGAUGUUUGUUUCCCCUGACUUGCAGAUUCUCCUAAUCCUCUCGUGGUGACUGCAGCCCUCUGUGCGGCAUGCUGGCGGCUGGUACCCGUGUCCUGUUACCUGCUCCAGGCAAAGUGGGCCAGAUAAGAUUAGUACUUUAAAUCAGUGGCCUGAGCUAACUUGUCUGGAUUUUUGCUUGUGUGAUAAGAUAGCAGACUGCUUCAUGUGAGCGCUAACUCUGCAGAGGAGGUGGUGGUGUCGUGGCAGGCGGUGAGUUCAGGUGCUUAAAGUCAUCUUCAAGUCUUUGCAUUGAAUUGAGCUGAAGAUGCUGUGACAAUAUUUGGAAAACAUAGAGCUAAUCACUACUGAUGUAGUUUUACAGUCCCAGAGAAUAAUAAGUCCAGUUCAGUUUUGUAACACCAAAUAAUCCUGUUUGUGUUUGUGGAAAGCAGUAUGUGGCAAGUGACCUUAAAGGCUGGUAGUUAUCACUUCUGUUUUCUGAAGUAUUAAAACUGGAGCUCUAAGCCAGCUCCUCAUUCAUAUAUUCAAACAGCUCUUUCAAAGGUGAUGGCUUGCAACUGGAAAAGUAAAUAACUUUGUGAUAAGGAGAAGUCAAUGGAGACAUUGUGAUCAGUCUGUGCCUGUGACCUAAGGUGCUUGUCUUAAAUAUACAGUAAUAAUGAGAAUGGCACAGAAUGCAGUGGAGUUGUUAAAGCACUGGUUCUAGCUUUACUUCACAUUAACAGCUCCUGCCUAUGAAUAUUUUAAGUUCUUAAUUCAAUGAUGUAACUGAAAGACAGUCACAGCUAGGCAUCCCAAGGCCAUCCAUGAAACAGGGAGGAGUUUAAAGGAGCUACUGUUUAUGAUAGGUUUACAAAUUCCAGAUUGUCAUUUCAUAAAGCUCGUUCUGCAUCUAGUGCUGAAGUAUUGAAGUGUUGUCAUGUCAUUAUAGAGUUGAAAGGCAAAUUUUUUGUGAAUUAUUGAGGUUUUUGAUAACACAAGGCUAGGUUUUGUUCCCUAAAUUUUAUGAAUGAACCAAACCAAAUGAUCUUCUUGUGCACGCUUCUGAAAGUGUGGAAACCAUUGACAUGUGGUUACUUAAAAUGUUCACCUAUCCUGCUUAUAUUCCCAAAAGUGCAUGGCUGAAGCAGGUACUGAGCCUAAAAUGUUACGUGGGAUGGGCAGCCUGGGGCAGAAUGCCUGGAUGGCAAAUGGCGCUCAGCACAAAACCUUGGCUGGUUGGUGCCUCUUCCUUUUGAAGCACACCGUGUGGACAGCUGCAGUCAGUCUGACUGUUUGCAGGAUAGACUUUCUGCAAAUACUGAGGAAAAUCCGUUGUAGUGGGGAUUUCCUGAAAAUUGACUUUCGUCUCCCUUUAUGAGAUGAGGCUGAUGUUGACAGUGCUGCAGAUUCUGAAGAGCUGGGUAAAUGAGUUACCUCUCCAUUUGAAUGGAAGCCAUGAAGGCAAAAUAAAUACACACCAAGCACUCUGUCAUUACUUGCUAUGUUUAUGUGUGGAACAAUUUAGUACAGUGCUGAACUCUUUUAUUCUCAAAUAUUUCAAGAUUGUAGUGGUAUCAUUCAGUGUAGUAAAGCUGUAUUAAUCUUUCCUGUCAUGUUGCUAUCCAAAGAAAUUGUUUUGUACUCAUUGGUCAUGGGAGACCUUGUCCCAGCUCUGCAAGAUGGAAAAAAAGUUUGAAAUAUGCCUUUGAAAAUUGCAAUCAGCUGUAUUUGGGAAAUGGAGGUCUGAGGAGCUUUCAUGUAUAUUUUCUACAGAGAAUUCCCAUAUUUUCUGUAUCGAAUUGAGGUUGUGUAACUGUUUUUAAUCCCACUGUUAACGUAUUAGGUUACAGGAAUCUUUCCACUUAAGUGAGCAAACACAGGAGACUGUUUAUGUAACUGAAGAUCUGCAACUGCCGAUAGAAUUAAUUAGGAGAAGAAUAAUUAGGCAAAUAGUAGUGUCCAAAUGGUCCCAAUAGAAAAAUGUAUUGUAAUCCCACUAGAAAUCUCAUUAAUGUUGUUUGUGUUGAGCUGUGCCUUUUGCCAUACCAUAGAGGAAGGCAAAUGUGGAAAGAGCUCAAUGGGGCGUCAGUGGGGAACGAAAAAGAAACAAUAUCAAGGUUUUAAACUGUCUAAUCUCAUUGUUGUCAUUUGGUCCUGGCUGCAACUCCAAUAUCUGCUUAAAAACGUCUCUUGAAUGAAUGAACCACUUGUGGCCAAAUAGGUACAAAAGAAAAAUUCAGUUUAGGACUUGUUACAGAAUUGUUGCUUCAUGUAUCAGAAACAGGUUGUGCCUUAUGCCAAGCAGAUGACCAAAUAAGAAAUGAGACAACCCUUAUUUCAAACAUUUUUUGCUCAAAUUCAACAGCUUACUCAUUUUAAAAAGUUAGCAAGCAUAUAAUCUAGACCUUUCACUGUAAUGUUAAUCAGACUGAAAUACAAGGAAGCUCAUUCUGACAUCUUGUUCCAGUUAGAAAAGUGGAAUUGGAUACAAGUGUACAUCUGUAUGAAAACCAUAGAAUAGCUGGCUUUUCAAUCUGCAUCAUGAAAAGACAUUGAUGCACAUUACUAAGAAAGCCCUCAGGUUUUUUGAUUUAUAAGGGACAAAGAACUUAGGAGAGAACACAGCCUUAGCAGCAUCCACUUUCUUGACCAGUGUAUUUUAGGGCCUGGGACUACAUGGACGUUCCUCUCCAAUUCAAAGAUGAAUGAGCAAUGUAUUUAUAGGGAAGCAGUCUCUGGUUCCUGGUCUGUGGCAGCAGUGUCUGUGAUUUGUCAGCGGGGGCAACAUCUUGGUUCUCUGUGGUAAGCACUGGUGGGAAGGUCAGGUUUUCAGUCAGUAGAGAUUUGUGCACUGCCUUGUUGCUGUAACAGAGAAGAUGAGUUUUUCUUAUUAUUUUCACUUGCUUUGGCAUCUUAUCUUUUUUAGUUCUUUUACUCAUUACUGUAUUUCACUCUACAGCACUGGGCAGCACAGAGUGCAUGUUUCAGGCUUGUUUAGGCACACUGAGGUAGUACAGUAGAGGAAGCAAUACAUACAGUGAGAGCGUCUUCUGUGAAAACGUAGCAGUAAAACCAAAGCAUUUUACAAGCAGUCAUUCAGAGCUUGCAGAGAGAAGCCUUGUACCAUUGCAGAGGAUGUAUCUGAGGCCUGGAGGGGUUGGGGAAGCUGCUUAAGGAUCACAAGUGUAGCAAUGCUAGCAGUACAGACUGUCCUGCACAACUCAACAUUGCUGCUUCCCAACAGCUUUGGAACAGUAGCCUUCAUUCCUCUACCAGUGAGCUGCAGCACCUUUUGGGUUUGAACUGCUAACAGGAUUUUGUUCCUUUCUUUUUGAUAAGAACAAGCUAGAAGCUGAGUAAUGUGUGAUAUAGUGAAUGUGUUUUAUUUUUAGUGAAUGGUAAAUGGAUCCACGUUAAAAUAUUGUAGACCGACAACUUUGGAAACCAAAUGCCUCUUUGUCACAGUGAAAGUUUACAAGAACUGUUGUCUGCAUUUUAUAAUUACUUACUCUCCCCCAUUGGCUAUAGUUGCUGUUGUUUCUAAUUAGCUUAGUUUCCUGUUACAGCAGCAGCUGUGGAUAAAUACCAGUCAAGCCAGCCUCUUUCUCAUAUGAAUUUUUAAAAAUGUGUCUAUAAAAUAUUCACUGGCACUGAGUUCCUGGAGCCACAUUCAGGCACACUUAUCGCUUGUUUAGUGAAAGGAAACCAACAUCCAAACGAGGUCUCUGCAACUCUUUCUGAAGGCAGUAGGUAUGAAAGCAGAGUACAGAGAAGAAAUAGAAGCAGUUGUCUUACUAUGAGUCUUGGAACGUGGUCUGAGUACAUGACCAUGAAUGCUGAAUUUGUUGCAAUCUAUCAGCUGAGCAAUGAAUGUGGUAUUAAUGGCAAAGCCUUUCUUUUGAUGCUUUCUAAACACAGCCCUUUUGUAGUCUUCUCUAGAACUUCUAGGAGGAGAUUUGUAAAUGUGCAGUGAAUGAGCAGCAAGGCUGGGUUUGGCUGUGAUGUACAUCCCAAAGCUAUACUUCUGCACUUGCAGCAUGUGCUGCAGUUAAAUCCAGUUUGUCUGGGGAGCACUGAACACCUACAUUAGAGAUACAGCAACUGUGACAGAUGUGCAACAGCUCUGAUGCGUAUCCAAAUUACCAGUUGCUGUGCAAACACUGUGCUGUUAGAAAACGGCUGCUUCUCUCUGUAAUGUUCUUGAACAAACAACAUGAAUGCACUGCACAGCACAAGCAUGACUAUGGCCUGUGCUUUCAGGACUUGGCAGGAUUUACUGGCAUGAAGGAUCUUUUUGCAGCUAAUGUGCUGAACACAGAUUUUGCCUCUCGUGUGUACAGGAAUGGGGAAUUUCUAGUGUUCAUGGUCAGAAUUGUAUUGCAGUACCUAGCCCUGCUUCCACACCUGAACUUCUUCCAUUUCAUACCUUUAACAGUCAAAUGCUGAUGCUCUGCUUCUUGGGGAGGUGCUGUACUGAAGGGACUCUCAAAAAAAAAACCCAUCACCCUCACAUGUCUUGCUAAGUGCAUUCAUAGGAGCCUGGCUUCAUUAAGCUCAGGGCUGCUGGGUAGUGUUCUGUCUGCCUCUUAGAGCAUGAGCCAAUUUAGAUGAGAAAUAUUAAUAAUCAAAGGUGUAAUGACAUAAAAAUACAACCCUGUCUGAGGUAGUAGAGUAGUGCUGGCUCACUGUUUCCACCCUGGACAUAAAAAGAAAGGAUAUGGCCCGUUAGAAACAGGGUGGGGAGCUGCCCUGGGGACUGGUCUGGGUGGGACCUGGGGCAGCUUGGCCAGAAUAGGAAGCUGAUGUUACAGCUUUUAUUAAGUUCAAAGUCAAAAAUAGCUGAAAGCCAACCCCCUUCCUAGUUCUGAUUAGAAACUUUUUUUUUUUUUCAAGGGGGACUUAAUUGUUUCUGGUUCUUAUUUAACUAGGUUACAUUGAAGUUGACUUUUAGCAUAGCUGAUGCUUUUUAUUCUCCUUUCUACUUCUUUUUCCCCAGUAAUAAAAGUUUAAGGAUGUCAAUCAACAUGGACACUGAGCUGCAGGGGAAGCAAACUGCUCACCCUUUCCACUUGUCUGCUCUGCUGGGUCCUGGUGCCUCGCUGCUUGCCAUGUCUUCUCAACACGAUGUAGUGAUAUAUAGAUAUCUAUGUUAGAACCCCAAACUCUUCAAAAUAACCUCCAGUAGAUUAGGAAACACUGAUCCAAUAAACAAAAAUCAGGUCACCUCUUAGAAUAAUUCACAAAUCUCAUGCAAGCAGUUAGCUAAAAUUAGAGACCAAAUAAGUCUUCUGUUUGUGUUAUUUUCCUAAACAAGGAAAAUUCCAGCCUGAAACUGAGCUAUAAUAUAUGUAGUCACCUCAGUGACUGGGCAGGAGUUUAAUUGGUGUGAUUGGUGUUCACAGAUGAACAAAAUUUGUGCCUUGCAAAUUUGCUAUCAUUUUCCUAAAGCUUUAUGUCUCUGCAUUCAGUGAUGGGCAAGAUGCAGAUAUAGCAUUUGAAAAUUCAUCCGACAGGUUAUUUUUCUCCAGAUUCUCUCCUUUCAGAAACACUGUGCAGAUAGGGUUUAUUUUGGAGAGAUGAGAUGUUGAUGCAUGAAGUCUUUUCUUAUAGUGGUUCUGGCCACUUUGUGUACAGAAGCAAAGCAGAGCAGUAGUUGAAAGAUGGGUAGGAUUAGACAUGGCUUGCCUGUACUCCAAAAAUUGAUUUAUGGAGAUCUCUAGCAGGCACUGCUAUGUACUGGUAGGCCAUCAUAACUAAUACGAACAUGAACUAAGGUGAAUGCAAGUUUGCUCAUCUAAUGGAUCUCAUUAUAAAUGAAGAAGUUGGUUUAUGCUACAGUUUUGGUUUAAAGCUUUUCAGAGGAGUAUAGUAUUGGAUCAGCAUGUUUAUUCUAAGUAGUCAAAUAUAAAUAUCUAGCUCCACUUUCCUGUUACACUACUUCACAACAGUGCUGUUUCUUCCAUCAGUUUCUGUAUUUCCUGAGUAUGAGAACAAUAUUAUUGCAUGAUGAAAAAUAUGUUGCAGUAGAGAGUGAGGGGUUGGGGAAAUGGAAUGUAAGAAUGGAUUUAUUUUAAAAAGAAAAAAAAAUAGUAAUUUGGUAGAAAUUAAUUGUCUAUUCUUUGGGAAACGAGUUCUGUGCACUCCUGUACAGCCUUGGAAAGCCCACAGGUAGUGACUGACAGAUCCAGUGGUGAGGCAGAAAAAGGCUAUGCAAAUUCUCUCCCAGUUAAUACAUUCUUUUUCCUGAUCCACAUCAAAAAACAGGAGAAUUUGGGAGAACUAAACACAGAGGAUGGAAAGCUGUUAUUGUAAAAAGACCAAGCUAGCCUUGUCAAGUGCUGACAGGGCUCCUACUGGCUUUGGUAGGAGUUAUGUUCAUGUCAAAGCAGGAUCAGGUUCAAAAUGUUAUUGUAUGGCUGUGGCGGCACUCGUGUAGACCUGCCUUGCGUAAGGUUAGGCUAUGAGACAAUAGUAAAGCUUGUCUGUCCUAAGUAUCUGUGUAAAAAAAUGAGUAAUAGUUCACAGUGGCCUUAGAAUAGCUCUGUGCUUUUAAAAAUUAUUGAAUGUUUAUUGAGCGUCCUGUAUGAAAUGUCUGAGGAAUGGUCAGAAGUCCCAGAACAGCAGAAUGGGGGGUGUAUAAAUUGAAACUAGUAGGCAGUUGCCUUAAAAGAAAGUAUGUUGCAAAGCAGAUUACUUGCCCCAGGAAGAGAGUGUAGGGGUGGAUUGUAUACACUGGUUCAAAAAGUGCCAUGGUUCAGUCAGGACUGUGUGAUUAUGGAUACCCUGCAUGCCCAACCCCUAGUUUUAUGUUUUCAUUGCCUCCUUUUUUAAUGUUAAAAAAAAAAAAAAAAAAAAAAAAAUUAAAAAAAAUUAAAAAAUUGCUGUUUAAUGCAUUAAUGCAUUAAAUAUUUUAUGUAUUUUUGUAACAUAGGGUCCAAGACAAUUCUUCUUCACUCAGUGCAGCCCAGGCAAGCCCAGAGGUUGGACACCUGCAGCACGGCAAGUAAUGAGCAGGCCAGCAGGUGGAUAACUCACAUUGAUGCAGUGUGUGCCACGUGUGCAUUGCACCAAGAGGACUCAGUGCACUCAGUGACUGUAGCUGUGGAUCUGAAUGACAAGGGUUAUGGAUAAAAAGGGGCACUGUUGUUUGUGGGAGCAACGUGAACUCGCAGACUGAACUCAGUGAUUUUAAUCGUCGCACCUUCUGUUAUGGGCCAUGUGUCCUGCUAUUUGUCAUGUGUGACAGGAGUCAAGAGAGGCCUUGAGGUCUCAAAGGUAGGAAGUAUCAAUAUUUCUGCUCAGAAGAGGAAGAAAUAGGCUGAAGCUGUAUUAAAGAAAGCAGUGUGAUCUCUACCUUUAUUGGACAGGAAGGAACCCACGAAAGACAAUUCCCUCACAUCUGUUUGUUCCUGGAGAUCUCAGUGGGAGUUCAUCCAUUAUAAAACACCAGAUUUAGUUCUCAGUUUGUUUUUCUUCUGAGUCAUUUUUCUGUCAUCAGUGGGGGAUAAACUCAUGAUAAAGAAUUGUAAUAAAAAUAUUGAAAAUAACUCAACCACCAGGCAUAAGUGUAUUGGAAAACAAGCUUCAGUCUUCUUGCUGGUAAGAAUGAUAAAUUUUAGCUGGAACUACAGUAUGCACUGAUUUUUUUCCCCAGUCUGAUGUUGUAGUGAUAGGACUGUAAUACAAUAGAAAAUGUCAUCCUUUUUGAGGCUUGUCAAAUCAUAUAACAGAUUUUUUUUUAAAUGUAUGAUGUGUAUUAAUAAGGAAUACUGGUGAGUAGUGGUAACUUUAUUUUUCCUCUUGGGUUUUGCACAUUUGGAAGCACGUGCUUGGUUUAACAAUUUGCUGAGUUUAGUACAUAAAAGUCAGUGAGCACAACUUGACUCCUACAUUCAGUUAACCACAGGAAAUGUUUCACUUAGCAAAAUUUCAGCAUUUGAGAUAUUCCUUCCUAAUACUGAAUCUAAGAUUUUUUUUCUUUCUAAAUUACUUUUAGUAGCUUUUUCUUCAGAAAUGAGAUUGGCAGCCAUUGCAUGAAAUAAGGAAGAUGUUUAAGUCGUGGUAAUUGAUCUAUAGUAAAAACAAAUUACAAAUGAAAUAACUUUUGGUUACAGUGAAGUAAUAUAAGUUAUGUAAGAUGACCUUUUAUAUAUAAGUAUAAACUUAAUAUAAGAUGCCUGAAAUUUAACAAGACAAGAUGCAGAGACUAAGCUUUUAGAUAUUAAUUUUUUAGAUGGUAUCAAUGAAUCUCAUAGACAACUGAUUAGAAAGACUGCAAGAGUGACAACCCUUGCUGUGUAGUUCUGUGUAAACCACAGGAUUGACCAAUGUGAGAAGCAGAUGAUUAGGCUGGAAUUCUUCAGUCAAGAUAGACACAACCCAAGAGGCAGAGGCUGCAGUUUCUCAGGGGUCAGUGCUGGGACUGGUGCUCUUUGACAUCUUCAUGGAGCACAUCAACAAUGGGAUCAAGUGCACCCUUAGUAGUUUGUGGAUGACACCAAGCUGUGUGGUGCAGUCAACAUGCCUGAGGGGUGGGGUGCCAUCCAGAGAGGCCUAUGCAGGCUGAGCUGUGAGCCCAGCUGAACCUCGUGAGGUUCGACAAAGCCAAGUGCAAAGUCUGCACCUGGGUUGUGGCAACCCCCACUGUCAGUACAAGCUGGGGGAUGUAAGGAUGGAGAACAGCCCUGCUGGAAAGGACUUGGGUGCUGGUGGAUGGCAGCUGGAAAUGAGCCAGCAGUGUGUCCUCACAGCCCAGAAAGCCAAUCAUACUAUGGGCUGCAUCUAAGGAGUGCAUCCAGCAGGGCUGGGAGGUGAUCCUGUCCCUCUGCUCUGCAACAUCUCACCUGGAGUGUUGUGUCCUGAUGGGAGUCCUCAGCACAGGAGAGAUGUGGGCCUGUUGGAGAGUGAGUGUCCAGGGGGCACAAAUGACCCCAGGGAUGGAGCACCUCCCUGUGAGGGCAGGCUGAGAGCUGAGGCUGUGCAGCACGGAGAAGGGGAGGCUGCAGGGAGAUCUGAGAGGGCUGUAAGAAAGAAGGGGACAGACUCAUUAGCAGGACAAGGGGAAAUGGUUUCAAACUGAAUGAUUGGAUGUAAGGAAGAAGUUAUUACAAUGAGGAUGGUUAGGCACAGGUUGCCCAGAGAGGCUGCCCUAUCCCUACAGACACCCUGCUCAGACUGGGGAGCUCUGAGCACUGAUGGAGCUGUGAGCGUCCCUGCUUGCUGCAGGGGAUUGGACCUGAUGGCCUUUAGGGGUCCCUUCCAACUCAGGUGAUUCUAUGAUUCAGUAAGUUGUUAGUGAGAUACAUAAACAGGCUGUUCACUAUCUUUUCUAAUAAAAUAGUUCUGGAGAUGUUGCAUAAGCCUUAUGGGAGCCAGCAUGUGCACUUCAUGCAAUGCACUGUAGGUUUGUGAAGCUUAUUUCCCAAAGGAUAUCAAAGCUCUUUAUGUGUGAAAGAGUGAAGAGGUCUAUAGAAUGGAAACGCACUGAGGACUGUUGAAGGUGUAGGGAACCACAUCUGACUGGGGGAAAACAAUGGUACCCUUUCCCUAAACUUCUUUAGUUGCUUUUCUGCACUGUUUGUCCAAUUACUGUUCAACUAGCAUGUGGAGCAGUUUGCAUUCUCCAUGGAGGUGAUCUCUCCCCUGCUCCACGUCUAUAUUAAGUAUCCCAUGGAAGCAAACUACAUAGACCCAAGUCAAAUAAUUGUUUCUCUGAUGUUUCCCAAAGAGUGGACGUGUUACUCUAUCAAUGGCACAAGAAGUAUUCAGAUAUGGUAUGGAAGCAGGUCUGGAUUUGGAAGCAGCGUAGUUUUGUCAGUGUGGUGCUGUUUUUUGGGGUAGUUAAGGAGAGGAAUUGAAUUACAGAGCUCAUUUGUGGAGAGAAAAAGGGGUGAGCAGGAUAAUUAGGAAAUGCUGGUCCAGGCAUGUCUCAGUGAUAAUAACAGAGAGGAAAAAGUUGACUUUGUGCCGUUAACUUGGCAGCAGAUAGCACUGCUGCACUGACUCAUUUGGUGAGGAAAGAUGAGUAUUACAUUUUUCACCACUGAUUUGACUCCUGCAAGAACCUCUGAAUGGCAAAAUUGGUGUCAUUACCAUGGCAUGCUGGGGCCUCCUGCUGAAACGAAGCUCCUUGACUCAAUUUCCAGUUGGACUGGGCUCACAAGUGCAGUGUGCAGGGCUGGUGGGGGCCAGUGCUUUGCUGACUGAAGCACACUAUGGUUCCUAACCUGAGCAAGACGCUCGGGCAUGCCAGGAGGAGGCUUUUUGUUCUUCUUUUUCUUUCCCUUGGCAGAAGUUGCUGGCUUAUGUUUAAAAGAGUUGUUGUGGAGCUUGGAAUUUUAAUUAUUUUUGAAUCGACUUUUGGACGAUUGUUGCUAUUAAACAAAGGAAUCAUAUUCUGGAAAGGACUGUAGUAAAUCAGAUAGCAAAUAAUAAAAAUGUGGGUUCAUAUUUAACAAAUUAAUUCCAUGUGAUGGACUAAGUCUAACAUCAACUUCCAUAAAUGCCAUUACGUUUUGCCCUAAGACUCAGCUGGCUUUUUGGGAUGGAUGGUAUGAAGGUUUACAAGGAGCUAUCUGAAUGAUGGGCAAUCCUUGGAAACUACCAGCUCCUCUGUAAGAGAAAUGUGUCAAGGAGGAUCCUCCCAAACUUACAUUUGCAUGUCACUUUCUGCAGGCCACGAAAGCCUCCUCUCCCUUUUAAUAAUGUAUGAACUUUUGUACAAAAGAGCAAAGUGACUCCCAACUGUACUGCAGCAAAAACCCAAUGAUUGACUGACUUGCUGUACAAGAUGGCAGAACACAGUAUGGUUCUGUUUGUAACAGAAUUUCUUUGUGAGUUUUGUGGCUAUAAAAUACAUAUUGUGGUGAAGUUAGUUAUUUGAAAAUGUAGGUGGAAAUAUUUCUAAAUAGCACAGCAGUUCUUGUAAUGUACUCACUGCUGGAUGGAUGCAGUAGUUCUCAGCACAAAUACUGAUAAUACUUCUGCUCUACCUUUCCUUCUACAAAUGUCAGUGUUUGGUGUUUCACUGUAGUAUGAUCUGAUAGAUCACUGUGCCAAUCAAAUCCGUCUUGUCAAAGCAAAAAGUAUUGCAGAGUAAGCAAUGAGGAUUCAAGAUAUAUAAUAAAUUCAGCCCAAUAAUAGCACUGAUCCACUCGAGAGCUAUCCCUGUAGUUUUGUACCUGCUUUGGCACCUGUAUGAACUGGAUUUGAGUCAGUGGCAUGAGAAAUAGAAGCGGAUGAUGCAUGUGUAAAACGUGUUGUUGGGAAGCCUGUGAAGAUGGAUGAGUUUGUUGGCCACUGGGUUGAUGAUUGAUCUCCUGAAAUAGGAGCUUUUGGUUUUUUUCCCCAGCUUUGAUGUUGACCAACUUUGUAAUUAUUUCCCUAUGCUAUUCUGUUAAUUUACACUUCUGUUUUACUUUGCUUGUGUUCAAGCAGAUUCAUGUUAUAAUGGAAAUACACCAGCAGCAUUACAGAAUGGAGGCCAAGUUUCAAAUAAGGGUUCAGGAGUGAGUUUUUGUCCUACCUGUUCAAAUAGCAAGUGAAGGGAAAAAGAAACAACAGAACAAAACAUGCACUCAAGCCAUUAAAUUAGCAUGUUAGUGCAGAGCUGGAUUCAUUAAUGACAUACAAGCAUCCUGAAGUCCAAGUCUUUGCAGUUUGUGUGGAUGCAAAGCCUGGCUCCCCUCACCUGUAUGAGGUUAUCCCUCACCUCCUGCCCAGAAGGGCUUAACAUGGAGCAAAGCUCCCAGCACAGGCAUGACUGACACAAACCUGUUGUUGCCAGUAAGAGUGAUGUUUUAGCAUGUUGGACAUUGUAUUGUCUGAAAUUCAUCUGUGUGGGCCUAUAAAAAUAGCCAUCAAUUUGGCUUUUUCCA